GAAAUGCGAUAAGUAAUGUGAAUUGCAGAAUUCAGUGAAUCAUCGAAUCUUUGAACGCACCCUGCGCUCCUUGGUAUUCCUUGGAGCAUGCCUGUUUGAGUAUCAUGAAAUCUUCAAAGUAAAUCUUUUGUUAACUCAAUUGGUUUCUACUUUGGUAUUGGAGGUCUUUGCAGCUUCACACCUGCUCCUCUUUGUUCAUUAGCUGGAUCUCAGUGUUAUGCUUGGUUCCACUCGGCGUGAUAAGUUAUCUAUCGCUGAGGACACUGUAAAAGGUGGUCAAGGUAAAUGCAGAUGAACCGCUUCUAAUAGUCCAUUGACUUGGACAAUACUUUUAUGAUCUGAUCUCAAAUCAGGUAGGACUACCCGCUGAACUUAAGC
RNAcentral lists this unclassified non-coding RNA (378 nucleotides) under plant metagenome. Its description in RNAcentral is "partial contains 5.8S ribosomal RNA, internal transcribed spacer 2, and large subunit ribosomal RNA". The stretch from base 1 to 105 matches the Rfam family "5.8S ribosomal RNA", at positions 50 to 154 of the family's 154-position model. The record is from RNAcentral.